UUCAGAUGUCUUAAUAUCGGAUGAUUUUCUGCUGAUACAUUGCUUUUGGAUGUGUCUUUCCCCUGUUUCCUCCGUGGGAGUUUGGCGGAGGACUGCACACUCCCCCCUCCCCUCCCUGCAGCUGCCGCGCAGUCUUCAGGAAAACCCCCCACUGUGACAGUCCUGGUGAAGUUCCAGGAAUUCCUGGUUGAAGUCUGUGGACAAGGUUGCCGCUCUACCUCCUGUGAUGCAACAACCCACCAGGGAUCCGCCAAUCAGCACCACAAAGGGAGCCAGUAACUGAUUUCCUCGAUCGGCCCCAAAGCUCCCUGUGAGGAAUGCUAACGGCUCACAGCCGGCAGUUAAUAAUUGCCCCAAACGGUGGGCAGGACUGCCCUGCUCUGGGAAAGCUUAAGGCAGCACUGGAGAGAACGUCAGGGGAAAAAGUAAAGAAAGAAAAUGCAGAAAAGACUCACCACUCAGCAGGCCUUGGAAAUGAUCCUGAGUGAAGCAAACCCUUGUGACUCGGAUGGAGAAGACAUAGAACUUCAGCCGGAUUCGGACUCAGAGCUGUCUGAUCAGUCUUCAGAUGAGGAGACUGCUUCUCAACCUAAAAAGAGAGCUCGUUUGGGGACUGACCUGACAGAGACAGCGAAAGAUGGCACAGUGUGCCGUGAAGAACAGGUGGGGACGCGUCUCCCUUUCACCCCAAUAGAAGCGUACGCCGCAGAUGGAGAGCCAACGGCUAAGGCCAGGAAAAGUAUCUCGAGUCGCCUUCAGAGCUUCCUGUGUUUCAUCACUCUUGACAUGCUUCAUAGCAUUCAAGAAUGGACUAUUCAACAUGCACAGCAAACAGAGCAUGUUCAUUGGUUCAUGGCCCUCCCUGAACUAAUGGCAUUUAUUGCAAUUCAUCUUGCGGGGGCUUACCAAGGUUCCAUCACUACGUGACUGCUGGUCAGCAAACCUGGGAAACCCACAGAUCAUUGGAACUAUGCCGCGAAACCGCUUCCAAGACAUCAUGCGACACCUUCGCUUUGAUGACAGGUCCACCCGCAGUGAUCGAGCAAAGACUAAUAAGUUCGCUGCAAUUUCCAGUGUGUGGGGAUCAUUUGUCACCAACUGCAUCAUGUCCUACAACCCUGGUCUACAUAUCACCGUUGAUGUGGAGUACACUGUCCGCACAGGAACACGGCGCUGGCCAGUUGCCAUGUUCUAUAAUAUGACUGAGAUGGCAGCAAUGAAUGCACAUGUACUGUAUCAAGCAUGCACCGGGACGCGGGAAAGACGGGUGGACUUCCUGGUGGAGCUUGCAAGAGAGUUGGCUAGCUCUCAUAUGGCUGCGAAGAAGGCAAGAGGAGAACAAUUGCUUCGGACACAACCCUCCACGCCUAGCCCUGGAAAAAGAGCCAUGUGCCAGGUCAAACACCAAUGCAAGAACAAUCAUGCCACUCUGCGAAGUGUUCACUGCUACAGAUACACAUGUGGUAAAUGCAGACGGGAGAUACCAUGGCAGUGCCAGGAUUGUGAGUGAUUGCUGAAAUGUACACACUCACUUUUUAUUAUUAUUUGUAAAUAUGUGUACAAAUGGUUGGUUAUUUUGUACUGUUUUUAUCAAUAAA
Paramormyrops kingsleyae is the source of this 1598-nucleotide long non-coding RNA. RefSeq lists it as uncharacterized. The record is from RefSeq and is a predicted model, not a curated record. Lineage: Eukaryota; Metazoa; Chordata; Actinopteri; Osteoglossiformes; Mormyridae.